AUUGAACGCUGGCGGCAGGCCUAACACAUGCAAGUCGAGCGGUAGAGAGAAGCUUGCUUCUCUUGAGAGCGGCGGACGGGUGAGUAAUGCCUAGGAAUCUGCCUGGUAGUGGGGGAUAACGUUCGGAAACGGACGCUAAUACCGCAUACGUCCUACGGGAGAAAGCAGGGGACCUUCGGGCCUUGCGCUAUCAGAUGAGCCUAGGUCGGAUUAGCUAGUUGGUGAGGUAAUGGCUCACCAAGGCGACGAUCCGUAACUGGUCUGAGAGGAUGAUCAGUCACACUGGAACUGAGACACGGUCCAGACUCCUACGGGAGGCAGCAGUGGGGAAUAUUGGACGAUGGGCGAAAGCCUGAUCCAGCCAUGCCGCGUGUGUGAAGAAGGUCUUCGGAUUGUAAAGCACUUUAAGUUGGGAGGAAGGGUUGUAGAUUAAUACUCUGCAAUUUUGUCGUUACCGACAGAAUAAGCACCGGCUAACUCUGUGCCAGCCGCCGCGGUAA
Molecule: ribosomal RNA, 500 nt
Filed under: uncultured bacterium
Lineage: Bacteria
Description: partial 16S ribosomal RNA
Rfam family: Bacterial small subunit ribosomal RNA
Source: RNAcentral